ASAGACUGCAAGCGUUAUUCGGAUUCACUGGGCGUAAAGGGUGCGCAGGCGGCCAAGUGUGUGAGGCGUGAAAGCCCGAUGCUUAACAUCGGAAUUGCACCUCAAACUACAUGGCUAGAGCAUUGGAGAGGGUAGCAGAAUUCACGGUGUAGCAGUGAAAUGCGUAGAUAUCGUGAGGAAUACCAGAGGCGAAGGCGGCUACCUGGACAAUUGCUGACGCUCAGGCACGAAAGCGUGGGGAGCAAAAGGGAUUAGAUACCCCUGUAGUCCACGCCCUAAACGGUGCACACUAGGUCUUGGCGGAUUCGACCCCCCCAGGGCCCAAGCUAACGCGUUAAGUGUGCCGCCUGAGGACUACGGCCGCAAGGCUA
RNAcentral lists this ribosomal RNA (371 nucleotides) under uncultured bacterium. RNAcentral describes it as "bacterial SSU rRNA". It matches the Rfam family "Bacterial small subunit ribosomal RNA", at positions 527 to 896 of the family's 1533-position model. The record is from RNAcentral.